UCUCCUUCCUCUUCCGGUCUUUGCAGCGUUUCGGUUGCUGAGCGAGAGGCGAGUUUUUGCUAACUCCGGACUAGUGUCCAGGUGGGGCCAAAGAUGGGCGUGGCGCCAGGGGGCAGGGCCUGCGGAGGCCGAUAGCACUAGGACCGUAGCAGGGUGUGAUCUUCGGACACCGGUCUGGAGCCGACCUGUCUCAACUUGGACCUCAUUAGGUGUGGCAACCUGUAUGUGCUGGCUUCUUGGCUCUCAUCUUGAAAAGAUACAAAUGUCCACUUCUGGCCAUGAUGAAAUAACAAGGACAAGAUUUUCUCUCCUGCUUGAAACAGCUAAAAGCACUGGACAAAAUAUAUGAAACAUUGAUCUCCAAGAUAUUGGACCUCAGAUAACAAAGGACAGCGAACCCUAAGAGACAAGAAAUAAAUGAGUAACUAAUCCCACAUCCAUUUCCUUAUCACUUGUCUGCGUCCUCCAGUGAGGCUGGAAGAGCUCAUGUUGACUUUGCGAGGGGUAGCCGUGUCCAUGGCUCUGGCCAAUGGGAGACUGGCAAGAGAGCUGCUUUCCUGAAGAAAGGGAUGGAUGUCACCAGCACCUGGGCCUACCCUUCCCCUUCCUGCUUUUAACGCCCAGCUACAGCCACCAACUUGCAGCCACAAGACAAAGGUCAAGGGAAGAGCAGAGAUGCCAGCACCGAACCAAGAGGCUUGGCUUCCUUAAACUGAUGAACUAACCACAUACCUCGGGGCUCCUUAUUUGGUAAAGAAUUAACCUCCAGGGCUCCUGGGUGGCUCAGUUGGUUAAGCGACUGCCUUCGGCUCAGGUCAUGAUCCUGGAAUCCCGGGAUC
Molecule: long non-coding RNA, 839 nt
Organism: Callorhinus ursinus (northern fur seal)
Lineage: Eukaryota; Metazoa; Chordata; Mammalia; Carnivora; Otariidae
Source: RefSeq, a predicted model, not a curated record